UGAACGCUGGCGGCGUGCCUCCUACAUGCAAGUCGAGCGAACAGACGCGGAGCUUGCUCCUCUGACGUUAGCGGCGGACGGGUGAGUAACACGUGGAUAACCUACCUAUAAGACUGGGAUAACUUCGGGAAACCGGAGCUAAUACCGGAUAAUAUAUUGAACCGCAUGGUUCAAUAGUGAAAGACGGUUUUGCUGUCACUUAUAGAUGGAUCCGCGCCGCAUUAGCUAGUUGGUAAGGUAACGGCUUACCAAGGCAACGAUGCGUAGCCGACCUGAGAGGGUGAUCGGCCACACUGGAACUGAGACACGGUCCAGACUCCUACGGGAGGCAGCAGUAGGGAAUCUUCCGCAAUGGGCGAAAGCCUGACGGAGCAACGCCGCGUGAGUGAUGAAGGUCUUCGGAUCGUAAAACUCUGUUAUUAGGGAAGAACAAAUGUGUAAGUAACUAUGCACGUCUUGACGGUACCUAAUCAGAAAGCCACGGCUAACUACGUG
This 495-nucleotide ribosomal RNA is filed under the name uncultured bacterium. RNAcentral describes it as "partial 16S ribosomal RNA". It matches the Rfam family "Bacterial small subunit ribosomal RNA", at positions 30 to 507 of the family's 1533-position model. The record is from RNAcentral.